AUGGCUCUGGCAUCGCCGGUUUUGCUGCAGGUGGUGGCCACGGUGACUGAUCAGGCGGUUGCCGCUCCGGUCCCUGCCGUGGCAGAAGUGCAGGUGGUGAACCCUGCCGUGGCACAGCCUGCCGCGGCAGCUCCCCCUCCACGGAUUCCUGUCGCAGCACAGGGUCCUGCCGCGGCAGCAAUCCCUGUUUCGGUUCCUGCCGUGGCAGCUCAGGCAGGAGUUCAACAACAGCUUGCAGGUGUUCCAGGGAAGGCUGAUCAGGGGCCCACCAAGAAGAAGAAAGAGGACAAGAUGGCUUGCUUUAGGUGCAAGAAACUUGGUCACUUUAUUAAUGAUUGCACCGCCCCCUUUUGUGAUCUUUGUGAGUCGGUUAAUCAUGAUGCCUCUUCAUGUCAUUUGUUGCAUGCUCCGAAACCAGUUGCUAUAAUGCAUGGGUAUGCUAACGAGGCUCUUACUUUCUUUGAGUUGCCAUGUGGUGCUUUUAAGCCUAAAGUUGAGAAUGCCAAGUUAGGUAAAGUAAUUGUUGCUGGAGAUGCAAUGCCGAUUCCAAAGAUUAUUGAGUACUUGAAAAAAAUUGUCCCCUAUGAGAAGUUUGUUUGGGAGGUUUUCCACUACAGAGAUAACAUUUAUCGUGUGAAAUUCCCUAGUAAACAAGAGGUGUUGAGGCUGAAGAAUUUUGGAUUGUACACAUGUCCAUGGAGAAAUUCAGAUUUGAUCUUUGAUGUGUGGUCAACUACGGAGGAGCCACUUUAUAUGUUGCCAGAGGUGUGGGUGAGGGUCUCAGGUUUGCCAGUGGAUCUCAGGAGUGACUACUUGUCCCUAUGGGGCCUUGGUACUUUGUUUGGCAAGACUCUUGAUGUGGACAUGGCUUUUAAUCGUAAAAAUAAGUUGUUAAGAACUAAGAUUGGUUGCUUAGACCAUACCCUCAUUCCUCCGGAGUAUGAUGUCUUCAUAAGGAAUGGAUUCUUUAAGCUUAAGAUGGAGGUGGAAAAGGUGAUGGUAACACAGGAUGAGAACAUGGUUGAUGCUACUAAUGGUCAAGAUGGGAAUGGUGGUGAUGGUAAUGCCAAUAAUGGUGAAGGCAACAACAAUGGGCAACAUGCUAUGGAUUUGGACCCAAAAGAGGAUGGUGCAACAUCAAAUGGUAAUGAGAUGACUAAUGGUGAGGUUAAUGGUGGUGCAAAUGGAGAGAAUGAACAGCCGGUGGAGACUAUUCAGAUUGGGUCAAUUGUGGAUCCAAUAUCUCCUAAAUGUACAAUCUCUAACCCUACCUUUUUGAUAAAAAUUAUGAUCUUAAUUUCCCUUCUAUGCAUGUUGAAACUUAUGGGCUAA
This 1332-nucleotide ribosomal RNA is filed under the name Triticum aestivum (bread wheat). Its description in RNAcentral is "partial small subunit ribosomal RNA". The record is from RNAcentral. Lineage: Eukaryota; Viridiplantae; Streptophyta; Magnoliopsida; Poales; Poaceae.